This is a long non-coding RNA of Silurus meridionalis, 301 nucleotides long. RefSeq lists it as uncharacterized. NCBI's taxonomy places the organism in Eukaryota, Metazoa, Chordata, Actinopteri, Siluriformes, Siluridae. The record is from RefSeq and is a predicted model, not a curated record. The transcript is spliced from 2 exons.
CGUGUCAUGUCACAUGAUCUCUGCACCUGCUUCACAUCUUCUGUUAAUUAGCCAUUACUUGGCAGUUUCCCCGUGGUCUUAACUGGACUCCUUUGCUUUCCCUUAAGCACCAAGUGAUCCGAGUUGAAAUCCGGAGCAGAUGUGCAGGGCAGAAGGUGGAGAAAAAGAGCGAAGAAAAAUGCAGAUCCAAACAAGUUGGACUUUCUUUCCGCACCAGCAAUCAGGCUGUCAAUCAGGAGUUAAUAUGCCCCUGAAAAGAAAAAAACAAAAAUAAAAAUAAAAAUAAAAAAAAACACUUCAA